GUACCACUGCUGUGGUUGGGAUGGGGACGCUGCGGGUCUCCUCCACCCCAGGCGCCCUCGCUCCACCCCGCGGGUUCGGUUCUCCGGGUCCUUUCUCAACACCUUUCUGAUUCUUGCAAGUCUUGGCCAGGGAGGAAGGGGUGCUCCAGCUCCCGCAUUCUCGCAAUCCCCUCCCCCUACCUUCAAGUAACAAUGGAGUGGCCCUUGGUCUGGAAAGUGGGGCUGGGUGUGAGAGGGCAGGAGAGGGGCGAAAGGGGCUGGGCAGCCAAGGGUUAAGUUCCUGCCCGAGCAGUGGAAGAGGGACCGCGUGUGCGCCGCCUUCGUGAAAUUCUAGCCUUUCCGCACCUCCAGCAGCCCUUGCAGCCUGAGUCGCACUUGUUUCCUCGCCUGGUAUGCGCGCAACAGGCGUUGAAGCCCGGGUCUCUCGGCGCUGGUGCUCCUCCUGCCCGCGGUGCCCCUGCGCGUCUAGGGCCGGCCUCCAAGUGGCCUCCUGCGUCUCGCUAGUGCGUGGUCUGCAGUCUGACAACGCUCUGGACGAGCAUUAAAAUCAACUAUUAGGCCAGGUCCAGCAUCUCCUUGUAUAAAGCAGACUCCCUCUGGCUUGAUGAACAUGAGUCUGAAAAAAAUUAAAAGGAGAGCACAGCAGCCGAUCCUUGCAGUAUUAUCGGUUUGGGAAAAAAAGAUGAGAGAAAAAUGCUGAGACAGAAUGUCCUUCCUGAGAAAUAGAGCUCGGCAAGAUUCAGCAGACUCCUUCAGCGGGAGGACUGUGUGUUCACCGCUUGCCUGCAGCAACCAUCCACUGACCUAGAGUUUGACCGCGUCGUGAUUUAUACCACUUGCCUGCGUGUGGUACGGACAACCUUUGAAAGGUGUGAACUGGUUAGGAAAAUCUUCCAAAACCACCGAGUAAAAUUUGAAGAGAAAAACAUAGCUCUGAAUGGCGACUACGGAAAAGAGUUGGACGAACGAUGCCGUCGGGUUUCCGAAGCACCUUCCCUCCCUGUCGUGUUCAUUGAUGGCCAUUAUCUUGGGGGUGCUGAGAAAAUUUUGUCAAUGAAUGAAUCAGGAGAACUGCAAGACCUCUUAACCAAAAUUGAGAGAGUGCAGCAUCCACACGAGUGCCCCUCCUGCGGAGGCUUUGGCUUUCUUCCCUGCUCCGUCUGCCAUGGGAGCAAGAUGUCAGUGUUUCGAAACUGCUUUACAGACUCUUUCAAGGCCCUGAAGUGCACAGCUUGCAACGAGAAUGGUCUUCAGCGCUGUCAGAGCUGUGCUGGUUAGCACUUCCACCCCCAGAACACCUGCUUUCCUUCACUGAAGGCAAUCAUUGGGUUUAUACUUUUUUUUUUUAAUGGCUGGCUAUGUUUCUGGAUUAAUCAAUAAACUUUGUUUAUUAUAAUUUCCUUUGUUUGGAAUUUUUGCUGUGACCACUUUCAGGGAUGUUUUAAAUUGAUGUUUACUCAACAGCUACUAUGUGCCAAGCCCUAUGCUAAAAUAAACCCUGGUUUCUAAUUGGAGUUAAUGGAGGAUCUGAUACCAUUCCAAGGUCUCCAAAUCUGAGUCCCUAAAUGUCUUGGGGUUUCAAAGGAAAAUAUAAAGUUCAUCCAGUGGUGUCUAUGCAAUGCCGCCCUAGUGUCUAGAAUGAGUUAACUCAAUUCUAGACGCAUAAUACAUUUCUACGUGAGCCUCAGCUGUAGGGAAGAAGAGAGCUCUGGAAGGUGGAAAAUAACGUGAUCUUAUACUUAGGCAAUAAGUUAUUUUUAAAGCUGUAAAAAGUCUUGGAGCUGAUGAUAUUAAUGAUAAAUCAUUAAUGUUAUUGAUAAAUUUCUUGGUGAUGAUGCAAAAACUGCUGGAAACGUUUUCCGAUUUAUUUAUUUAAACAUCUGCUUUGUGCAGUUGUCACUGAAAAUCCUCCAACAAGGUGCUGAUAUGGUUCUCUGGAGCUGGAUGCAAAAUAUUACAUAGUUUGAACACGUAGUAGAUGAUAUUAACAAAGAGGACAAAAGGAAAUUUUGCUAUAAAUAUUAGCUGAUGCCUACCUGUACAUAUGUCUGUACUCUGAUGGGUUCCCUUACAAAUGAUUUUAAUAAAUCUCCUUUAUACUAUCUGUGGUAAGGUA
Molecule: RNA transcript, 2116 nt
Organism: Sus scrofa (pig)
Lineage: Eukaryota; Metazoa; Chordata; Mammalia; Artiodactyla; Suidae
Source: RefSeq, a predicted model, not a curated record